AUCGAUGAAGAACGCAGCGAAAUGCGAUAAGUAAUGUGAAUUGCAGAAUUCAGUGAAUCAUCGAAUCUUUGAACGCACAUUGCGCCCCUUGGUAUUCCGGGGGGCAUGCCUGUUCGAGCGUCAUUUCAACCCUCACGCGUAGCGUGGUCUUGGGCUCUGCCGGUGACGGCUUGCCUUAAAAUCAGUGGCGGUGCCAUCGGGCUCUACGCGUAGUAAUAAAACCCUCGCGUGUGAGUUCCGGCGGACGCUGGCCAGCAACCCCCAAUUUUUUAUGGUUGACCUCGAAUCAGGUAGGGAUACCCGCUGAACUUAAGCAUAUCAAUAAGCGGAGGAAAAGAAACCAACAGGGAUUGCCUCAGUAACGGCGAGUGAAGCGGCAACAGCUCAAAUUUGAAAUCUGGCUCUUUCAGGGUCCGAGUUGUAAUUUGUAGAAGAUGUUUCGGGUGUGGCUCCGGUCUAAGUUCCUUGGAACAGGACGUCGUAGAGGGUGAGAAUCCCGUAUGUGACUGGCUGCCUCCGCCCAUGUGAAACUCUUUCGACGAGUCGAGUUGUUUGGGAAUGCAGCUCAAAAUGGGUGGUAAAUUUCAUCUAAAGCUAAAUAUUGGCCAGAGACCGAUAGCGCACAAGUAGAGUGAUCGAAAGAUGAAAAGCACUUUGGAAAGAGAGUUAAACAGUACGUGAAAUUGUUGAAAGGGAAGCGCUUGCAAUCAGACUUGCGCGCGGCCGAUCAUCCGGGGUUCUCCCCGGUGCACUCGGUCGCGUUCAGGCCAGCAUCGGUUUGGGUGGUGGGAUAAAGGCCUUGGGAAUGUAGCUUCUUUCGGGGAGUGUUAUAGCCCUCGGUGCAAUGCCGCCUAUCCGGACCGAGGACCGCGCUUCGGCUAGGAUGCUGGCGUAAUGGUUGUAAGCGACCCGUCUUGAAACACGG
This 925-nucleotide ribosomal RNA is filed under the name uncultured fungus. RNAcentral's name for it is "eukaryotic LSU rRNA". The stretch from base 277 to 925 matches the Rfam family "Eukaryotic large subunit ribosomal RNA", at positions 1 to 664 of the family's 3401-position model. Lineage: Eukaryota; Fungi. The record is from RNAcentral.